This 497-nucleotide ribosomal RNA is filed under the name uncultured bacterium. RNAcentral describes it as "partial 16S ribosomal RNA". It matches the Rfam family "Bacterial small subunit ribosomal RNA", at positions 28 to 507 of the family's 1533-position model. The record is from RNAcentral.
GAUGAACGCUGGCGGCGUGCCUAAUACAUGCAAGUCGAGCGAACGGACGCGACGCUUGUUUCUCUGAUGUUAGCGGAGGACGGGUGAGUAACACGUGGAUCACCUACCUAUAAGACUGGGAUAACCUCGGGAAACCGGCGCUAAUACCGGAUAAUAUUUUGAACCGCAUGGUUCAAAAGUGAAAGACGGUCUUGCUGUCACUUAUAGAUGCAUCCGCGCUGCAUUAGCUAGUUGGUAAGGUAACGGCUUACCAAGGCAACGAUGCAUAGCCGACCUGCGAGGGUGAUCGGCGACAUGGGAGCUGGGACGCGGUCCAGGCUCCUGCGAGAGGCAGCAGUAGGGUAUCUUCCGCAGUGGGCGAAAGCCUGACGGAGCAACGCCGCGUGAGUGAUGAAGGUCUUCGGAUCGUGAAACUCUGUUAUGAGUGAAGAACAUAUGUGUAAGGAACUGUGCACAGCUUGACGGUACCGAGUCAGAAAGCCACGGCUAACUACGUG